This 604-nucleotide long non-coding RNA is filed under the name Coffea arabica (coffee). RNAcentral's name for it is "long non-coding RNA (CARA_LNC006421)". Lineage: Eukaryota; Viridiplantae; Streptophyta; Magnoliopsida; Gentianales; Rubiaceae. The record is from RNAcentral.
UCUUGUUGAAUUUUCUAGUAAAAAUAUCUAUCAAUUUGGAUACAGGUCAAUACCAAUAUAACAUCAAUUGAAUUACUACAUUCAAAGAAUACAGAUUUAAUGCAAAAAACUGUGAAGAUUAGGUGAGGACAACAUAUCCAGUUUUUCAGAAAAUCAAUACACCUUGAUUUGAUCAAAUCAAAUGCAACUCAAAUUUAAAAUAAAGUAUUAGGAUCUGCAAGGGAUGUGACUAUGCAUCUUGAAUUCAUUACAAAAUAGAAAAAAUCUUCAACGUUGUAGAUUAGUGUUAGAAAUACAUCAUACAUGUGAAUAUUAGGUGAGGACAACAUAUCCAGUUUUUCAGAAAAUCAAUACACCUUGAUUUGAUCAAAUCAAAUGCAACUCAAAUUUAAAAUAAAGUAUUAGGAUCUGCAAGGGAUGUGACUAUGCAUCUUGAAUUCAUUACAAAAUAGAAAAAAUCUUCAACGUUGUAGAUUAGUGUUAGAAAUACAUCAUACAUGACAAAUAUUUUUAACAUCAGACACAAAAAACUGUUUACCAAAAUAAUGUGAGUAGGGAAAGAAAUUUUUGAACUAAUAGAGUCAAGGUCAAAAAUUAAAGAAUG